ACUGGCAAAAAAAAUAAAAUAAAAAUAUUCUAAAAGUAAAACUAGUGAAAACCCAGGUAUCACACAUUGUGCUUUACAGCUUAUAAAGAGGACAGAUUGCUGAAGGUAGUCAAUUGUGACCAAGGAUUACAUAACCCUCCUGGCAUGCGCACACACAUAUUUUUCCCACCCAAAUAAAAUAUAAACAGCCUGACAGCACAGGAAAUUCUACAAGUGGGUUUGUCUUUCAAUUCCUAUUGGCAAACAACCUGUUCAGCAGAUAAGCUGUAUUCCUGCUUUCAAAUGUGCUAUGUGGUAGAAACACCAUCUCAAAGCUUAUCACUGCUGUGAGAAAUUGCAGUGCUCAUUCAAUUUCA
Long non-coding RNA from Perognathus longimembris pacificus (Pacific pocket mouse), 356 nucleotides. RefSeq lists it as uncharacterized. The transcript has 2 exons. NCBI's taxonomy places the organism in Eukaryota, Metazoa, Chordata, Mammalia, Rodentia, Heteromyidae. The record is from RefSeq and is a predicted model, not a curated record.